RNAcentral lists this ribosomal RNA (1502 nucleotides) under Lactobacillus crispatus. RNAcentral describes it as "bacterial SSU rRNA". It matches the Rfam family "Bacterial small subunit ribosomal RNA". Lineage: Bacteria; Bacillati; Bacillota; Bacilli; Lactobacillales; Lactobacillaceae. The record is from RNAcentral.
CUGGCUCAGGACGAACGCUGGCGGCGUGCCUAAUACAUGCAAGUCGAGCGAGCGGAACUAACAGAUUUACUUCGGUAAUGACGUUAGGAAAGCGAGCGGCGGAUGGGUGAGUAACACGUGGGGAACCUGCCCCAUAGUCUGGGAUACCACUUGGAAACAGGUGCUAAUACCGGAUAAGAAAGCAGAUCGCAUGAUCAGCUUUUAAAAGGCGGCGUAAGCUGUCGCUAUGGGAUGGCCCCGCGGUGCAUUAGCUAGUUGGUAAGGUAAAGGCUUACCAAGGCGAUGAUGCAUAGCCGAGUUGAGAGACUGAUCGGCCACAUUGGGACUGAGACACGGCCCAAACUCCUACGGGAGGCAGCAGUAGGGAAUCUUCCACAAUGGACGCAAGUCUGAUGGAGCAACGCCGCGUGAGUGAAGAAGGUUUUCGGAUCGUAAAGCUCUGUUGUUGGUGAAGAAGGAUAGAGGUAGUAACUGGCCUUUAUUUGACGGUAAUCAACCAGAAAGUCACGGCUAACUACGUGCCAGCAGCCGCGGUAAUACGUAGGUGGCAAGCGUUGUCCGGAUUUAUUGGGCGUAAAGCGAGCGCAGGCGGAAGAAUAAGUCUGAUGUGAAAGCCCUCGGCUUAACCGAGGAACUGCAUCGGAAACUGUUUUUCUUGAGUGCAGAAGAGGAGAGUGGAACUCCAUGUGUAGCGGUGGAAUGCGUAGAUAUAUGGAAGAACACCAGUGGCGAAGGCGGCUCUCUGGUCUGCAACUGACGCUGAGGCUCGAAAGCAUGGGUAGCGAACAGGAUUAGAUACCCUGGUAGUCCAUGCCGUAAACGAUGAGUGCUAAGUGUUGGGAGGUUUCCGCCUCUCAGUGCUGCAGCUAACGCAUUAAGCACUCCGCCUGGGGAGUACGACCGCAAGGUUGAAACUCAAAGGAAUUGACGGGGGCCCGCACAAGCGGUGGAGCAUGUGGUUUAAUUCGAAGCAACGCGAAGAACCUUACCAGGUCUUGACAUCUAGUGCCAUUUGUAGAGAUACAAAGUUCCCUUCGGGGACGCUAAGACAGGUGGUGCAUGGCUGUCGUCAGCUCGUGUCGUGAGAUGUUGGGUUAAGUCCCGCAACGAGCGCAACCCUUGUUAUUAGUUGCCAGCAUUAAGUUGGGCACUCUAAUGAGACUGCCGGUGACAAACCGGAGGAAGGUGGGGAUGACGUCAAGUCAUCAUGCCCCUUAUGACCUGGGCUACACACGUGCUACAAUGGGCAGUACAACGAGAAGCGAGCCUGCGAAGGCAAGCGAAUCUCUGAAAGCUGUUCUCAGUUCGGACUGCAGUCUGCAACUCGACUGCACGAAGCUGGAAUCGCUAGUAAUCGCGGAUCAGCACGCCGCGGUGAAUACGUUCCCGGGCCUUGUACACACCGCCCGUCACACCAUGGGAGUCUGCAAUGCCCAAAGCCGGUGGCCUAACCUUCGGGAAGGAGCCGUCUAAGGCAGGGCAGAUGACUGGGGUGAAGUCGU